UCAAUCCAUUCCAAAAUAAAGCUUUUGUGCACAUAAAGCCCAAGAAUAUGGUCCCUUUUAGACUUUGGGUAGUCCAAGCUGAGCCCAAAUAAACUGGGUUCUCUUUGCGUUACAAUUCCAAAUUAAUAAAAAACCUAAACGAACCAGACACAGCAAGAGAAGAGAAGAAGAGGAAGAAGAAGAUGAUAUACAGGAAAUGGAGUCUGUUAACGGGACCCGUCACGAUCUUGGGGGGCAUAGUAGGCACUGUCGUCGUCGCCAACUUCGUCUUCAAUGAUAACGAUCGAUUUCUGAAGCCGGAGGCAAGGAAGGCGGAUGCAUCCACUUCAAGCAAAUAAGAGGAGGAAGGUGAAACAGCUGCAUUUUCAAAGUAAUUCAAGCUUUUAGCUUUCUGUCUUUAUUUGUUGUUCUGCAAAAUUGUGGUGAUGCUGCACCUUCAGACAUGACUUGUCGGUUUAAUAAUCCAGAAUUCAAAUGUGAGUUCUGAUUUAAGGUUGUGUAGUUAAAUUUCGUGGGAUAUGUUCUCUCUGUUGUCUUGACAUUUCUUGCUUUUCAAGCUGAGAAGAAUUAAUCAAAUUCCAUUGCUUCUGUUA
Long non-coding RNA from Pyrus x bretschneideri (Chinese white pear), 593 nucleotides. RefSeq lists it as uncharacterized. The transcript has 2 exons. NCBI's taxonomy places the organism in Eukaryota, Viridiplantae, Streptophyta, Magnoliopsida, Rosales, Rosaceae. The record is from RefSeq and is a predicted model, not a curated record.